RNAcentral lists this ribosomal RNA (403 nucleotides) under Burkholderia sp. RNAcentral describes it as "bacterial SSU rRNA". It matches the Rfam family "Bacterial small subunit ribosomal RNA", at positions 127 to 528 of the family's 1533-position model. Lineage: Bacteria; Pseudomonadati; Pseudomonadota; Betaproteobacteria; Burkholderiales; Burkholderiaceae. The record is from RNAcentral.
UGUCCUGUAGUGGGGGAUAGCCCGGCGAAACAAGAAUUAAUACCGCAUAUGAUCUAGGGAUGAAAGCGGGGGAUCUUCGGACCUCGCGCUAUAGGGGCGGCCGAUGCCGGAUUAGCUAGUUGGUGAGGUAAAGGCUCACCAAGGUGACGACCCGUCGCGGGUCUGAGAGGACGACCAGCCACCCUGGGACUGAGACACGGCCCAGACCCCUACGGGGGGCGGCGGUGGGGAAUUUUGGACAAUGGGCGAAAGUUUGAUCCAGCAAUGCCGCCUGUGUGAAGAUGGCCUUCGGGUUAAAAAGCACUUUUGUCCGGAAAGAAGCUCUGGCCCUAAUAUGGCCGGGGAAAGCUGCACCGAGAAAAUAAGCACCGGUUAACUACGUGCUAGUAGGCGGUUAAUACGU